AAGACCUUAUGCUUUUGGAGCGGCCGAUGUCUGAUUAGCUAGUUGGUGGGGUAAUUGCCUACCAAGGCGACGAUCAGUAGUUGGUCUGAGAGGACGACCAGCCACACUGGGACUGAGACACGGCCCAGACUCCUACGGGAGGCAGCAGUGGGGAAUUUUGGACAAUGGGCGCAAGCCUGAUCCAGCAAUGCCGCGUGAGUGAAGAAGGCCUUCGGGUUGUAAAGCUCUUUCAGUUGAGAAGAGAAGAUUGUAACUAAUAAUUACAGUUCAUGACGGUAUCAACAGAAGAAGCACCGGCUAACUACGUGCCAGCAGCCGCGGUAAUACGUAGGGUGCGAGCGUUAAUCGGAAUUACUGGGCGUAAAGGGUGCGCAGGCGGUUUUGUAAGUCAGAUGUGAAAUCCCCGGGCUUAACCUGGGAACU
This 423-nucleotide ribosomal RNA is filed under the name uncultured bacterium. RNAcentral describes it as "bacterial SSU rRNA". It matches the Rfam family "Bacterial small subunit ribosomal RNA", at positions 207 to 622 of the family's 1533-position model. The record is from RNAcentral.